AGAACCUGUUCCGUGUCUCCUCCCCCCACCUUGGAUCCUAUUAGUAUUAUAUAAGUAGCAGGUUUACUUCAAUAGGAAACAGAACCUCUUGACUCCUGUGAGCGAAACUGCACGAUGUGGAACCCAAACCAAGGGACACCUUAUGGGCAGCCUGGAUACCCAGCACCAGGUUGUCCUCCUCAACAAGGACCUUAUCCAGGCCAAUGCCCUCCAGGCACUAACCCAUAUCCAGGAUAUCCUGGGCCUACUUACCCACCACCAACAGGUGGAUACCCUGGUGGAUAUGCCCCUCAGCCAGGACAUGGAUCCCAUGGCCAUCACGGUCAACAUGGUCAACAUGGUCAACCUGGCUAUGGUGCACCUGGCUGCCCUCCCCAUCAACAUGGAGAUCAUCAUAAGAAACACAAAAAACAUGGACAUGGACACGGACAUGGGCAUAAGAAGCACGGAGGUGGAUCUUCUAGCAGUUCUGACUCAGACUAAAUGGCUUCAGGAUGGCUAUUAUGAAUCUGACCCAUCAAAUUUUCUAAAUACAGUAUACGUAAAUCACAUGUAUCCUACAACAUGAUAAUAAGAAACGUAGGAGAGAACAAUAAAUUAAUACAACAACGCUCAUCUCAAAAUCAUUUUGUAAUUCCUGUGUAUCCAGAAUAAAUAUGCUCUCUUCUUGUUGUGGUGCUGCUCCACAGAACCUUUUAUCGUGUCUGUAACCCUCAAUAUAUUGACAUACAAGUGGUGUGAUCAUUUGCUGUGUGGUUGAAUAAAGUAAUUCUUUCCAAAA
This is a long non-coding RNA of Bufo gargarizans (Asiatic toad), 781 nucleotides long. RefSeq lists it as uncharacterized. NCBI's taxonomy places the organism in Eukaryota, Metazoa, Chordata, Amphibia, Anura, Bufonidae. The record is from RefSeq and is a predicted model, not a curated record. The transcript is spliced from 4 exons.